This 218-nucleotide unclassified non-coding RNA is filed under the name uncultured Tomentella. RNAcentral's name for it is "sequence contains ITS2". The record is from RNAcentral. Lineage: Eukaryota; Fungi; Basidiomycota; Agaricomycetes; Thelephorales; Thelephoraceae.
ACACCUCAACUCCUCAUGGUUUACUGUGAUGGGCUUGGACUUUGGGGGUCUUGCUGGCCUAUGGUUGGCUCCUCUCAAAUAGAUCAGCUUGCCAGUGUUUGGUGGCAUCACAGGUGUGAUAAAUAUCUACGCUUGUGGUUCCCACCAUAUAGCCUUCAGCGAUGAAGGUUCUCUGGAGCUCACAAAUGUCCCUCCUCAGCGAGGACAGCUUUUUGAAC